RNAcentral lists this ribosomal RNA (836 nucleotides) under uncultured bacterium. RNAcentral's name for it is "bacterial SSU rRNA". It matches the Rfam family "Bacterial small subunit ribosomal RNA", at positions 64 to 906 of the family's 1533-position model. The record is from RNAcentral.
GAGGGGUAUAUGUCUUCGGAUAUAGAGACCGGCGCACGGGUGCGUAACGCGUAUGCAAUCUACCUUUUACAGAGGGAUAGCCCAGAGAAAUUUGGAUUAAUACCUCAUAGUAUAGUGACUCGGCAUCGAGAUACUAUUAAAGUCACAACGGUAAAAGAUGAGCAUGCGUCCCAUUAGCUAGUUGGUAAGGUAACGGCUUACCAAGGCUACGAUGGGUAGGGGUCCUGAGAGGGAGAUCCCCCACACUGGUACUGAGACACGGACCAGACUCCUACGGGAGGCAGCAGUGAGGAAUAUUGGACAAUGGGCGCAAGCCUGAUCCAGCCAUGCCGCGUGCAGGAUGACGGUCCUAUGGAUUGUAAACUGCUUUUGUACGAGAAGAAACACUCCUUCGUGAAGGAGCUUGACGGUAUCGUAAGAAUAAGGAUCGGCUAACUCCGUGCCAGCAGCCGCGGUAAUACGGAGGAUCCAAGCGUUAUCCGGAAUCAUUGGGUUUAAAGGGUCCGUAGGCGGUUUAGUAAGUCAGUGGUGAAAGCCCAUCGCUCAACGGUGGAACGGCCAUUGAUACUGCUAAACUUGAAUUAUUAGGAAGUAACUAGAAUAUGUAGUGUAGCGGUGAAAUGCUUAGAGAUUACAUGGAAUACCAAUUGCGAAGGCAGGUUACUACUAAUGGAUUGACGCUGAUGGACGAAAGCGUGGGUAGCGAACAGGAUUAGAUACCCUGGUAGUCCACGCCGUAAACGAUGGAUACUAGCUGUUGGAAGCAAUUUCAGUGGCUAAGCGAAAGUGAUUAGUAUCCCACCUGGGGAGUACGUUCGCAAGAAUGAAACUCAAAG